AGCUGAGCCUUGAUAGCUUUAUUGUUUACAUUGGCCCGUCUACUUACACAUCGUACAUACAGUAGUGACAGAGCAGGGUAUCAUGUGAGUAGGACAAAGCUGCAAUACGUUGCACCGUUGCCACUAAGAAGAUGGCAUGCUAGUAGAUGACCCAUAAUAAAAAAUGAAUGGGCUACAGUGUUCAUACAAGAACACUUCAAACUUCUGAUCAAUGAUGAUGCUGAGUCAAACCCCUACCAAUCUGAUAUUGAUGGCCUAUCCUAAGAACAUGCCAUUAACAUACUAGUGCUGAAAACACCUUUAAUGAGUAUUACUAUAUAUUAACCCAUAUCUUGACCCCACCUUGCAUAUUAUGUCAUGAUUUUUAAUUCAGUAAUUUGAGAUCUUCUACUUUUAUAAGACAUUAGAUAUUAGAACUGUACAAGAAAGAAGGUUUGCAUCUUUUUUUCAAGGGAACGAAUGUCCUCAGUGAACAGUUCCAAGUAUUUGCUAAGGAGCAUUUAAAC
Molecule: long non-coding RNA, 506 nt
Organism: Bufo bufo (common toad)
Lineage: Eukaryota; Metazoa; Chordata; Amphibia; Anura; Bufonidae
Exons: 3
Source: RefSeq, a predicted model, not a curated record